Long non-coding RNA from Heterocephalus glaber (naked mole-rat), 3170 nucleotides. The record is from Ensembl. NCBI's taxonomy places the organism in Eukaryota, Metazoa, Chordata, Mammalia, Rodentia, Bathyergidae.
UUUUUUCUUUUCUUUUGUGGUGGUGGUGGUGGUGGUGGUGGUGCUGGGGAUUAAACCCAGGACUUCGUGCAUGCUAACCAAGCAUUGUCCCAAUAAGCUAAGUCCCCAGACCUGGUUAGUGUUUAGAUUCAGUCCUACAGAGUCUGUUAUCGCUCAGAUAUAAUUACUCUGAAGAAUUUUGUUAAUGUUAAAUUAAAAAUUAGAAGAAAUGUUCUGUAUCCAAGGACACAAUACAUUCAUUAGGAAAAUAAAGGAAAGCAGUAAUUCAUGUAGAAUGUAGACCGUCUUGGAUCCUUAUUAGGGCACUAGCCAUGGAUUUAGAUUCACGAUAGUUGCUAUAUAAUAGAGCCCUUUUAAUAAUAAAAGCUUUUUAAAAAAUACAAGUUGGGCUCCCAAUAUCAAACUCUAUAGUCUACAGCAAAUGUAUUAUGGGGAGAUGUAGUUUUAGUAUUCAGACAGUUUAGUCUACAAUUUCUCAAAGAUCUGAUAAGUAGCCAAACUUCCACAAUGCAAAAGCUUUGAAUUGAAAUAUUACAUGAAAAGGACUCAGACUGGUUCUAUACAUUUGUGUUGAUGAUAAUGCUUAGUGUAAAACAUUUUUCAUUGUUGGCACAUUACUGCAAAAUGACACCAGACAUAUUUUCAAGAAUAUUGAGGUUGGAUUUCUUUGGCAUCCUUUUCUAAUUGGUCAAGGUUGAAGAUUUAAUGAAUAAAGAGUUUCACUUAGAAUAAAUUCAUGUCUACUGGUAGUGUUUUUUAAAAAGCAAUCUGCCAAAGAACCAAAAAUUUUGAAUGCUAAUGAAGUUGUUGAGGAAAAACCCCUUAAUUUUAAAUAAUAUUAAUAAAAAACUAAAGAAUAUUACUAUCCAAUUUUCACUUUUUGUUGCUAGAACCCAUCCUAUAUUUUUAAAAUUAUUUUUAUUAGUGCCUAUUAAUUUUACAAAAUGCUGGGUCCCAUCCUAUAUUUAAGCAAAAUACAUAAUGUUAAGAAAAAUGUGGACAUUACUUAUUUAAAUUGAGAUUUAAAAUGAUGAGAAAAUGUAAGUUAUUUUUUAAGUGGGAAUUUCCUUUGUCACAAGGAAUUCACAAUUAUUUAUGGGCAUCAGAGAUGUUAACCAUUCAGUAGUUUGUUUUACCAUACAACUCUAAAGAAGCUAAUGAAUGUACAAAUUUAAUAUUCAGAAAAAGUUGUGAACUCCCUUCUUUACCAACACAGUGGAACGUGUCUUUAAUUCAUGGUGUUGCCUCACAGCUUCUGGUAUUCAAAAACCCAAAUCUUUUUUCAAGUGGAAUAUCCGUGUGUGUGUGUGUGUGUGUGUGUGUGUGUGUAUAUGUGUGUGUGUGUAUGUGUAUGUAUGUAUAUAUAUAUAUAUAUACAUUUUAGAAAUUAGAAGAAAUAAUCCAUUGGUAAUUUCUUAUAAAAAGAAAAAUUGCUUUGAAAUUGAUACAAAACUAUGGAUAUUUAAUUACAGAAAGUCUAGAGUAAAACAGUUUUUCUUCUUGGUGUGACAUUCUCAAAAUAUAUUCCUGGUUUUCCAAGAAGCAGAGAAUGCCAAGACUGUAUACCUGCUGUAACCUUUCUGGUCCUCAUUCUGCUUUAUAUGCUCAUAGGAUACAAUCUGUUCCUACUUUAUCCACCAUUUCCAGUUUGUACCUGUGAACCUACCUUGGAAGAAGCAAGUAAAGUGAUUUUUUUUCUCCAUUAUUUUUAUACCAAUCCUGAAAGACCAGGCCUUUUGCAGUCAAUGUGUUUAAACUGGGUUGUGUUAUUUGGUUACUUAUGGAACAUACAUUUUGAUAAUAUUUCACUCCAAUAAAUUAAGACUUUGAGUGCCAAGAAUUGCUAAGUAACUGUAACAUUGAAAAGUCACUCCCAAGUAAACAUACGUUCUAAAAUAGUAAAUUUGUUAUAUAACCACUUCAGAUUGUACACUUAACUUUUUUUUUUUUUCAACUCAUGUAGACCCUUUCAGAAGUUGAUUCAGAAUAUGGUCAUGGUCACCUUAGUGGAUUUUGUUCCCUCGUUUUGGUCAUGUGAGUUCAAUAUUUUUAAAAUUUCGUAUUUAUACUAAUACGCUUUGGGAAAGGCUGUAAACUCAAUUUUGGCACAUUGUAGAGGUUUCAGUUAAUGAAGUUGUUAUUUUUAUCCUAAGGACUUUAAGGUAUCCUAUAUAAGAUAUGAGAGGGCAUAACAGAUCAUUAGAUGGGUAGAAAUUUAUUAAAAUCUUUAGAUAUUAUGAAUGAGAAAAAAUUUUUUUACAGGAAUUACAUUUGUGUUUUUUGCCAAACCAGACAAGCAAGAAAAUAUGCCUAGGACUGAAUAACCUCCCUUGUUCUUUUUGCCACUGGAUUAUCACAAGUGUAUUCUUGUAAAGAAUAAAAAUCAUGUAAGUGUCAUAAUUUCUGUCUUCAUCUAUUGUCAGCUAGUGUGAGAAGUCAGUUUCUUUGCUAUCUUCACUCAUUCAGAAGCCUGGGGACCAUGAAUUUCCACUUGAAGAAUACAAAUUCCAGAUAUCAAUUUGUAAAUUGUCUGUUUUAGAAUUUCAUUUUGAUUUUAAAGUAAUAAUUGGGAUCCAGGAAGUGUUUGGUUAGAAUAUGUCUUGGAUUUUCAGACAUGCUUAUACAAAAUGCUUUAUUUUCCUAUGCAUAAAAAAAACUUAUUCCUGGUAUAGGUUCUCAGAAUUUUGUUUCUAGCUGAGAACUAAAACAAAACUUAAAGAUUAGCAUAAAACUAACUCUAGGUAAUCAGGACCAUGCUGUCCCAUAAUAAUGUACUGCAUGUGUGAAGGGAAGGGGGAAGAUAACUGGAAACAUGAUUCUGAUAACACAAAUUUUGUGCAUUAAAAGUAUGGAAAUUCCUGAUUGCUUAAAGCUUCAGGAGUAAACUGCAGUGUAUGAACACCUGGUGUGUUAAAAUUGCAGUACACCUAGUGUGUCAGAAUUGCAGUGCAUAGUUGUUUAAAUACAAUAUUCUUUGUGACAACCAAAAUAUGUUGUGGCUGGUGCCAAUAUUUUUGUUAAUGAAAUGUUCGAUGUCUCACUACAGUCUUAUCAGAAUUUUUAGUGUUAUAUGCCAGGCCUAAAGCCAUUUUAUAGCUAUUGGCCUAAUUGUGUAACUUUUUCUUUCAAAAUGUUUUAUUAUAAUACUGUCAUUUCUUUCACUUAAUAUA